Molecule: ribosomal RNA, 205 nt
Filed under: uncultured bacterium
Lineage: Bacteria
Description: partial 16S ribosomal RNA
Rfam family: Bacterial small subunit ribosomal RNA
Source: RNAcentral
CGUGUAGGUGGAUCGUUAAGUCGGGGUGAAAUCCCGGGGCUCAACCCCGGAACUGCCUUCGAUACUGGCGAUCUUGAGGGUGAGAGAGGCGAGUGGAAUUUCGAGUGUAGCAGUGAAAUGCGUAGAUAUUCGAAGGAACACCAGUGGCGAAGGCGACUCGCUGGCUCACUACUGACACUGAGAUGCGAAAGCGUGGGAACAAACA